RNAcentral lists this ribosomal RNA (253 nucleotides) under uncultured bacterium. RNAcentral's name for it is "partial 16S ribosomal RNA". It matches the Rfam family "Bacterial small subunit ribosomal RNA", at positions 524 to 776 of the family's 1533-position model. The record is from RNAcentral.
UACAGAGGGUGCGAGCGUUAAUCGGAAUUACUGGGCGUAAAGCGUGCGUAGACGGUUAUGUAAGUCAGGUGUGAAAGCCCCGGGCUCAACCUGGGAAUUGCAUUUGAGACUGAAUAGCUAGGGUGCGGAAGAGGGAAGCGGAAUUUCCGGUGUAGCGGUGAAAUGCGUAGAUAUCGGAAGGAACACCAGUGGCGAAAGCGGCUUCCUGGUCCAGCACCGACGUUCAGGCACGAAAGCGUGGGGAGCAAACAGG